ACCUGGCUGGCUCAGUUGGGAGAGCAUGUGACUCUUGAUCUCAGGAUUGUAAAUUCGAGCCCCACGUUGGGUG
This 73-nucleotide transfer RNA is filed under the name Felis catus (domestic cat). It matches the Rfam family "tRNA". From Rfam's summary of the family: Transfer RNA (tRNA) molecules are approximately 80 nucleotides in length. Their secondary structure includes four short double-helical elements and three loops (D, anti-codon, and T loops). Lineage: Eukaryota; Metazoa; Chordata; Mammalia; Carnivora; Felidae. The record is from Rfam by way of RNAcentral.